GGUGGUUGAUUUUUUUUUUUGCUUAGGGUUUCUUGUUUUUCUUUUGUUUUGGGCUAGGGUUAGUGAUUUGGGUUUAGUUGGGUUGUUUGGGGUUUAUAGUUUGGGUCUGGUAUUGGGUUUUUGAUUGGGCUGCUAUUUUAUUUGUUAUUUGGACUUUUUUUUGGGUUUUUAUUUGGUUUAUUUUUGGAUUAAGCCCAGGCCAAAAUUGGCCUAUUACAGCUGCCUCUCUUUGCUCAUUGUCGUGCAACGGGAACAAAACAAAGAAAGAAAGGCAAAUUUUGCCUGGUUUAGCCAACUCUUAACUUUUGG
Molecule: long non-coding RNA, 309 nt
Filed under: Gossypium raimondii (Peruvian cotton)
Lineage: Eukaryota; Viridiplantae; Streptophyta; Magnoliopsida; Malvales; Malvaceae
Description: long non-coding RNA (GRAI_LNC007569)
Source: RNAcentral